This 448-nucleotide ribosomal RNA is filed under the name uncultured bacterium. RNAcentral describes it as "bacterial SSU rRNA". It matches the Rfam family "Bacterial small subunit ribosomal RNA", at positions 330 to 795 of the family's 1533-position model. The record is from RNAcentral.
CCCAGACUCCUACGGGAGGCAGCAGUGGGGAAUAUUGCACAAUGGGGGAAACCCUGAUGCAGCGACGCCGCGUGAGUGAAGAAGUAUUUCGGUAUGUAAAGCUCUAUCAGCAGGGAAGAAAAUGACGGUACCUGAUUAAGAAGCCCCGGCUAACUACGUGCCAGCAGCCGCGGUAAUACGUAGGGGGCAAGCGUUAUCCGGAUUUACUGGGUGUAAAGGGAGCGUAGACGGCAGCGCAAGUCUGAAGUGAAAUGCCGGGGCUUAACCCCGGAACUGCUUUGGAAACUGUGCAGCUAGAGUGCGGGAGAGGUAAGUGGAAUUCCUAGUGUAGCGGUGAAAUGCGUAGAUAUACGGAGGAACACCAGUGGCGAAGGCGGAGUGCUGGACAGUAACUGACGCUGAGGCGCGAAAGCGUGGGGAGCAAACAGGAUUAGAUACCCUCGUACAC